RNAcentral lists this ribosomal RNA (117 nucleotides) under Pteropus alecto (black flying fox). Lineage: Eukaryota; Metazoa; Chordata; Mammalia; Chiroptera; Pteropodidae. The record is from RNAcentral.
GUCUAUGGCCAUGCCAUCCUGAACAAGCCCGAUGUCUGAUCUCGGAAGCUAAGCAGGGUUGGGCCUGGUUCAGUACUUGGAUGGGAGACCACUUAGGAAGACCAGGUGCUGUAGGCA